This 497-nucleotide ribosomal RNA is filed under the name uncultured bacterium. RNAcentral describes it as "partial 16S ribosomal RNA". It matches the Rfam family "Bacterial small subunit ribosomal RNA", at positions 28 to 507 of the family's 1533-position model. The record is from RNAcentral.
GACGAACGCUGGCGGCGUGCCUAAUACAUGCAAGUUGAGCGCUGAAGGUUGGUACUUGUACCAAAUGGAUGAGCAGCGAACGGGUGAGUAACGCGUGGGGAAUCUGCCUUUGAGCGGGGGACAACAUUUGGAAACGAAUGCUAAUACCGCAUAAAAACUUUAAACACAAGUUUUAAGUUUGAAAGAUGCAAUUGCAUCACUCAAAGAUGAUCCCGCGUUGUAUUAGCUAGUUGGUGAGGUAAAGGCUCACCAAGGCGAUGAUACAUAGCCGACCUGAGAGGGUGAUCGGCCACAUUGGGACUGAGACACGGCCCAAACUCCUACGGGAGGCAGCAGUAGGGAAUCUUCGGCAAUGGACGAAAGUCUGACCGAGCAACGCCGCGUGAGUGAAGAAGGGUUUCGGAUCGUAAAACUCUGUUGGUAGAGAAGAACGUUGGUGAGAGUGGAAAGCUCAUCAAGUGACGGUAACUACCCAGAAAGGGACGGCUAACUACGUG